AGAACGAACGCUGGCGGCAUGCCUAACACAUGCAAGUCGAACGCUCUUGGUUUCGGCCAAGGGAGUGGCGCACGGGUGAGUAACGCGUGGGAACCUGCCCUGGAGUGGGGGAUAACCGAGGGAAACCUCGGCUAAUACCGCAUACGACCUGAGGGUGAAAGAUUUAUCGCUCUAGGAGGGGCCCGCGUCGGAUUAGCUAGUUGGUGAGGUAACGGCCCACCAAGGCUAUGAUCCGUAGCUGGUCUGAGAGGAUGAUCAGCCACACUGGGACUGAGACACGGCCCAGACUCCUAUGGGAGGCAGCAGUGGGGAAUAUUGGACAAUGGGCGCAAGCCUGAUCCAGCAAUGCCGCGUGAGUGAUGAAGGCCUUAGGGUUGUAAACCUCUUUUAGUAGGGAAGAAGCGAAAGUGACGGUACCUGCAGAAAAAGCACCGGCUAACUACGUGCCAGCAGCCGC
RNAcentral lists this ribosomal RNA (457 nucleotides) under uncultured bacterium. Its description in RNAcentral is "SSU rRNA". It matches the Rfam family "Bacterial small subunit ribosomal RNA", at positions 26 to 518 of the family's 1533-position model. The record is from RNAcentral.